AAUGAACGCUGGCGGCGUGCCUAAUACAUGCAAGUCGAGCGAACAGACGAGGAGCGUGCUCCUCUAACGUUAGCGACGGGCGGGUGAGUAACACGUGGAUAACCUACCUAUAAGACUUGGAUAACUUCGUGAAACCAGAGCUAAUACCAGAUCAUAUAUUGAACCGCAUGGUUCAAUAGUGCUAGACAGUUUUGCUGUCACUUAGAGAUGGAUCCGCGCCGCAUUAGCUAGUUGGUAAGGUAACGGCUUACCAAGGCUACGAUGCGUAGCCGACCUGAGAGGGUGAUCGGCCACACUGGAACUGAGACACGGUCCAGACUCCUACGGGAGGCAGCAGUAGGGAAUCUUGCGCAAUGGGCGAAAGCCUGACGGAGCAACGCCGCGUGAGUGAUGAAGGUCUUCGGAUCGUAAAACUCUGUUAUUAGGGAAGAACAAAUGUGUAAGUAACUAUGCACGUUUUGACGGUACCUAAUCAGAAAGCCACGGCUAACUACGUG
RNAcentral lists this ribosomal RNA (497 nucleotides) under uncultured bacterium. Its description in RNAcentral is "partial 16S ribosomal RNA". It matches the Rfam family "Bacterial small subunit ribosomal RNA", at positions 29 to 507 of the family's 1533-position model. The record is from RNAcentral.